RNAcentral lists this long non-coding RNA (953 nucleotides) under Gossypium barbadense (sea-island cotton). Its description in RNAcentral is "long non-coding RNA (GBAR_LNC008582)". The record is from RNAcentral. Lineage: Eukaryota; Viridiplantae; Streptophyta; Magnoliopsida; Malvales; Malvaceae.
AUUAUUCUGUUUUUACUUACUAUUAUUGUAAACGGGCCAAUUUGCCCGGGCCCACGUCAGAACCAAAGUCCAAUAAUAAAAUAUAUAUAUAUAAAACCAUAAUUAAGUAAAUGUACAUUUACAAAUCUAGCCCAAAUACAAGACCAAAAAUUUUAAAUCAUAGCGGCCCAGUUUACAGUCCAAUUACAAAAAUUACGGCCCAACUGCAAGAAUAGGCCCAAAAAGCCCAAAAUGUCAACAUUUCAGAAACCCUAGGGCUCUCUUCCACUUUGCGCCGCAGCCGAGCCCCCAAGCGCCUCCGUACACUCCAACCUCUAGUAACCACGCCAAGCCUUCAGCACCGUACGGCCAGUGCGCGGCCCUCGUACGCUAUGGCCGCACCUCCGUACGAUGCCAACGCAUUCCGUACCUGCACACCAAACACAAAGAGACAACAGACCCAAGAAAAUAGCAGAAAAAUUGUAUAUUUUUAUUAUUUUCUUCUCUCGACUAUAAAGCAUUGUAUUUUUUUUCGAUUGUGGGGCUUCGUUUUUACGAACACAAGCACAUUUUUGCAUACUGAAUACAAAGAAAAGAAAUCAAAACCUUGAAAAGGUGAUUAUUCGGCUUUGGCCUUUCUUUCCCGUUUGUUUUCAUCUUCUUUUCUUAUUUUUUGGUUGCACAUACUGUCAUUUCGAGCAUAAAAAUGGGUAAAAGGGAGCGAGGGGGUUACCUAUAUGAACAAACUGCCGGAAUCCUCGUCUCCUUCGCUUUAAUUGAAGUCAGGACGGGGUGUAAGGUCUGAAAUCGGAAGUCCUUAAAGCAAUGGCCCAAGCAGGGUCAGCGAGAGUACAAAUCUCCCUCCGUCGAUCACCGUUCGGGGUGGUCAAGUGGCGGCUAGGACCUCUUGAGAUUCGAACAAAGGAGGAGGAUUAGGUUUCGGCUGAAGAGUAAGGAUUGGAGGGCUAGGGUUU